UACGUAGGGUGCGAGCGUUAAUCGGAAUUACUGGGCGUAAAGCGUGCGCAGGCGGUUCUGUAAGACGGAUGUGAAAGCCCCGGGCUCAACCUGGGAACUGCAUUCGUGACUGCAGGGCUAGAGUGUGUCAGAGGGAGGUGGAAUUCCGCGUGUAGCAGUGAAAUGCGUAGAGAUGCGGAGGAACACCGAUGGCGAAGGCAGCCUCCUGGGAUAACACUGACGCUCAUGCACGAAAGCGUGGGGAGCAAACAGGAUUAGAAACCCUUGUAGUCC
This 273-nucleotide ribosomal RNA is filed under the name uncultured prokaryote. RNAcentral's name for it is "partial 16S ribosomal RNA". It matches the Rfam family "Bacterial small subunit ribosomal RNA", at positions 524 to 796 of the family's 1533-position model. The record is from RNAcentral.